This is a long non-coding RNA of Erinaceus europaeus (western European hedgehog), 759 nucleotides long. RefSeq lists it as uncharacterized. NCBI's taxonomy places the organism in Eukaryota, Metazoa, Chordata, Mammalia, Eulipotyphla, Erinaceidae. The record is from RefSeq and is a predicted model, not a curated record. The transcript has 4 exons.
CGUCGCCGCCGCCGCCGCCGCCGCCGCCGCCGCGGCCCCUCUGGGAACUCCGUGCCGCGCGGCCCCGCGAGGCGGGCGCCGAGGAGGUCCUGAUGGAGCUGGAGUUCUGAGCCUCCUUACCCUCUUCCUUCUAUUACUUCUACCUCACUGGGAGUAUAGAUCAAAAUUAUUUUGGGGGAUACAAAAGAAUAACAACUGGUGAAAUGAAGUCUCAGUAGCAAUUUAAGAAAAAAAGAAAGAUGCUAUUGUAGCGCUUUGAGAGAAGCAAACAUGAUGCUUUCCAUUCCUGCUUUUUCUCCAAGUAUAAGAGCAAUUGGCAAAAAAAAAAAAAAAAAAAAAACUUGAGAAAAUAAGGAGCCCAGGAAGCUGGGUGAUGUUAUUAUAUAUAAGGACAGAAGUUCAAGCCUCCAGUCCUCAACUAUAGGAGGAAGCUUCAUGAGCAAUGAAGCAAUGCUGCAGCCACAAAGUUAUAGAUGCUACCAUGAUGCCAACCUGACUUCCCUGGACAGAUGACCUCACCAAUAUGUCCUGGAACCUCACCUCUCCAGAGCUCUACCCCACUAGGGAAAGAUAGAAACAGGCUGGGAGUAUGGAUCAACCUGCCGACACCCAUUUUCAGUGGGGGAAGCAAUUAUAGAAGCCAGAAUUUCAUCAUCUAUACCCCAUAAUGAUCCUGGGCCCAUACUCCCAGAGGAAUAAAUAAAUAAAUAGAAAAGUCUACAAUAGAGGGGAUGAGAUGCAGAACUCUGAGGGUGGGAA